UACGAGGGGGGCAAGCGUUGUUCGGAAUUAUUGGGCGUAAAGGGCGCGUAGGCGGUGCGGUAAGUCACCUGUGAAAUCUCCGGGCUCAACUCGGAGCCUGCAGGCGAAACUGCCGUGCUGGAGUGUGGGAGAGGUGCGUGGAAUUCCCGGUGUAGCGGUGAAAUGCGCAGAUAUCGGGAAGAACACCCGUGGCGAAGGCGGCUCUCUGGGACGGUACUGACGCUGAGACGCGAAAGCGUGGGGAGCGAACAGG
This 253-nucleotide ribosomal RNA is filed under the name uncultured bacterium. Its description in RNAcentral is "partial 16S ribosomal RNA". It matches the Rfam family "Bacterial small subunit ribosomal RNA", at positions 524 to 776 of the family's 1533-position model. The record is from RNAcentral.